AGAGUUUGAUCCUGGCUCAGAUUGAACGCUGGCGGCAGGCUUAACACAUGCAAGUCGAGCGGGGAAAAGUAGCUUGCUACUUGACCUAGCGGCGGACGGGUGAGUAAUGCUUAGGAAUCUGCCUAUUAGUGGGGGACAACGUUUCGAAAGGAACGCUAAUACCGCAUACGCCCUACGGGGGAAAGCAGGGGAUCUUCGGACCUUGCGCUAAUAGAUGAGCCUAAGUCGGAUUAGCUAGUUGGCGGGGUAAAGGCCCACCAAGGCGACGAUCCGUAGCUGGUCUGAGAGGAUGAUCAGCCACACUGGAACUGAGACACGGUCCAGACUCCUACGGGAGGCAGCAGUGGGGAAUAUUGGACAAUGGGGGGAACCCUGAUCCAGCCAUGCCGCGUGUGUGAAGAAGGCCUUAUGGUUGUAAAGCACUUUAAGCGAGGAGGAGGCUCUCUUGGUUAAUACCCAAGAUGAGUAGACGUUACUCGCAGAAUAAGCACCGGCUAACUCUGUGCCAGCAGCCGCGGUAA
RNAcentral lists this ribosomal RNA (521 nucleotides) under uncultured bacterium. RNAcentral's name for it is "bacterial SSU rRNA". It matches the Rfam family "Bacterial small subunit ribosomal RNA", at positions 8 to 523 of the family's 1533-position model. The record is from RNAcentral.